CAGUAGCCGCGGUAAUGCGAAGGGUGCAAGCGUUAAUCGGAAUUACUGGGCGUAAAGCGUGCGUAGGCGGUGAGUUAAGUCUGCUGUGAAAUCCCCGGGCUCAACCUGGGAAUGGCAGUGGAUACUGGCUCGCUAGUGUGUGUCAGAGGAUGGUGGAAUUCCCGGUGUAGCGGUGAAAUGCGUAGAGAUCGGGAGGAACAUCAGUGGCGAAGGCGGCCAUCUGGGACAACACUGACGCUGAGGCACGAAAGCGUGGGGAGCAAACAGGAUUAGAUACCCGCGUAGUCCCUGUCUCUUAUCC
Molecule: ribosomal RNA, 301 nt
Filed under: uncultured bacterium
Lineage: Bacteria
Description: partial 16S ribosomal RNA
Rfam family: Bacterial small subunit ribosomal RNA
Source: RNAcentral